GAUGAACGCUGGCGGCGUGCCUAAUACAUGCAAGUCGAGCGAACAGACGAGGAGCUUGCUCCUCUGACGUUAGCGGCGGACGGGUGAGUAACACGUGGAUAACCUACCUAUAAGACUGGGAUAACUUCGGGAAACCGGAGCUAAUACCGGAUAAUAUAUUGAACCGCAUGGUUCAAUAGUGAAAGACGGUUUUGCUGUCACUUAUAGAUGGAUCCGCGCCGCAUUAGCUAGUUGGUAAGGUAACGGCUUACCAAGGCAACGAUGCGUAGCCGACCUGAGAGGGUGAUCGGCCACACUGGAACUGAGACACGGUCCAGACUCCUACGGGAGGCAGCAGUAGGGAAUCUUCCGGAAAGGGCGAAAGCCUGACGGAGCAACGCCGCGUGAGUGAUGAAGGUCUUCGGAUCGUAAAACUCUGUUAUUAGGGAAGAACAAAUGUGUAAGUAACUAUGCACGUCUUGACGGUACCUAAUCAGAAAGCCACGGCUAACUACGUG
RNAcentral lists this ribosomal RNA (497 nucleotides) under uncultured bacterium. RNAcentral's name for it is "partial 16S ribosomal RNA". It matches the Rfam family "Bacterial small subunit ribosomal RNA", at positions 28 to 507 of the family's 1533-position model. The record is from RNAcentral.